Molecule: ribosomal RNA, 240 nt
Filed under: uncultured bacterium
Lineage: Bacteria
Description: partial 16S ribosomal RNA
Rfam family: Bacterial small subunit ribosomal RNA
Source: RNAcentral
GAUCCUGGCUCAGGAUGAACGCUGGCGGCGUGCUUAACACAUGCAAGUCGAACGAAGCACUUUAUUACAAUUUCUUCGGAAUGACGAUUUAGUGACUGAGUGGCGGACGGGUGAGUAACGCGUGGGUAACCUGCCUUAUACAGGGGGAUAACAGUUAGAAAUGACUGCUAAUACCGCAUAAGCGCACAGGAUUGCAUGAUCUGGUGUGAAAAACUCCGGUGGUAUAAGAUGGACCCGCGU